AUUUGCAUUGUAUGGCUUCUAAACCAUUUAAAGUCCAUAAUUUAUUUUAUAAACGACAAUGGAUGUGAUGCCAAUGUAAUUUGUAACAUAGUAAAUUAGGAGGAUCUUCGAUCACCUGAUGCCGCGCUAGUUACAUAUAAAAGCAUUAUUUAAUACAAUGACAAAGCCUAGAAUCAAUUGUAAACGACUUUUGUAACAGGCAAGGUGUUGUAAGUGGUUGAGCAGCUGCCAUACUGCGAUCCACUGAAGCUUAUCCUUUGCUUGAUGAUUCGA
RNAcentral lists this non-coding RNA (273 nucleotides) under Drosophila sechellia. RNAcentral's name for it is "Eukaryotic large subunit ribosomal RNA". It matches the Rfam family "Eukaryotic large subunit ribosomal RNA", at positions 3162 to 3401 of the family's 3401-position model. Lineage: Eukaryota; Metazoa; Arthropoda; Insecta; Diptera; Drosophilidae. The record is from Rfam by way of RNAcentral.